RNAcentral lists this ribosomal RNA (301 nucleotides) under uncultured bacterium. RNAcentral describes it as "partial 16S ribosomal RNA". It matches the Rfam family "Bacterial small subunit ribosomal RNA", at positions 509 to 807 of the family's 1533-position model. The record is from RNAcentral.
CAGUAGCCGCGGGAAUACGUAGGUGGCAAGCGUUGUCCGGAAUUAUUGGGCGUAAAGCGCGCGCAGGUGGUUUAAUAAGUCUGAUGUGAAAGCCCACGGCUCAACCGUGGAGGGUCAUUGGAAACUGCUAAACUUGAGUGCAGGAGAGAAAAGUGGAAUUCCUAGUGUAGCGGUGAAAUGCGUAGAGAUUAGGAGGAACACCAGUGGCGAAGGCGGCUUUUUGGCCUGUAACUGACACUGAGGCGCAAAAGCGUGGGGAGCAAACAGGAUUAGAUACCCCGGUAGUCCCUGUCUCUUAUAC